RNAcentral lists this ribosomal RNA (1881 nucleotides) under marine metagenome. Its description in RNAcentral is "SSU rRNA". It matches the Rfam family "Eukaryotic small subunit ribosomal RNA". The record is from RNAcentral.
ACUGGUUUGGUAGCCGGGUCUUAAAAACCCUCGAGGUUUGGUUAACAAGAAUCUUUCUUGUUCUCCAUCACCUACAACUCGGGCGAGUGCACGCAGAGGCGUGUGCUAGUUGGUGAGCAAUCAACGACAUUACCAAAUUGCGGGGAAGACCUAAAGCUCAACACAUGAACCAAAACUCGAAAGGGUUAGAGGCGAUCAACAAAGAGAUCGGCAAAGUGUUUUGAGAUGUUACAAUGGUCAAUCCGCAGCCAAGUCCUGACCAAAAAAGGAUGCAGUUCACAGACUAAAUGGUAAUGGGGCAAUGUGAAUUUCCAUUGUCUUAAGAUAUAGUCGGCCCCUGGACUUGGAGAAAUCCCAGGGAUCAAGCGGAGAAACGGCUACCACGUCUACGGGCGGCAGCAGGCGCGUAAAUUACCCAAUCCUGACACAGGGAGGUAGUGACAAUAAAUAACAAUACCCGCCCCGAACAGGGGAGAGUAAUUGGAAUGAGUACGAAUUAAAACUACUAACGAGUAGCAAUUAGAGGGCAAGUCUGGUGCCAGCAGCCGCGGUAAUUCCAGCUCUAAUAGCGUAUUUUAAAGUUGUUGCAGUUAAAACGCUCGUAGUUGGAUUUUAGGGCUUGGUGUGUUUGGUCCGCGUCAAGUGAGUACUAGCAUGCCGGCUCUCCUUAUGAGAUACUCCCUGUUGCUCUUAACUGGGUGGCAGGAGCAGGCGUCGGGUCGGGCAACUGGCUCGGCGUCCGGGUUCUCAUUCGUUUACUUUGAAUAAAUUAGAGUGUUCAAAGCAGGCACAUAACGCCUUGAAUAAUCUAGCAUGGGAUAAUGGAAUAGGCUGUCGGCUUAUUUCGUUGGUUUCUAAGCCAGACAGAAUGAUUAAGAGGGACAGUUGGGGGUUUUCGUAUUCAAUUGUCAGAGGUGAAAUUCUUGGAUUUGUUGAAGACGAACUACUGCGAAAGCAUCAACCAAGGAUGUUUUCAUUAAUCAAGAACGAAAGUUAGGGGAUCGAAGACGAUCAGAUACCGUCGUAGUCUUAACCAUAAACGAUGCCGACCAGCAAUUCGGAGACGUUACAUUUAUGACUCCCCGAGCAGCUUGAGAGAAAUCAGAGUGUUUGGGUUCUGGGGGGAGUAUGAUCGCAAGGGGGAAACUUAAAGGAAUUGACGGAAGGGCACCACAAGGAGUGGAGCCUGCGGCUUAAUUUGACUCAACACGGGGAAGCUUACCAGGUCCAGACAAAGUAAGGAUUGACAGAUUGAGCGCUCUUUCUUGAUUCUUUGGGUGGUGGUGCAUGGCCGUUCUUAGUUGGUGGAGUGAUUUGUCUGGUUAAUUCCGAUAACGAACGAGACCUUAACCUGCUAAAUAGUCACUGGAAGCUGCUGCAAAAGCAUCGUUGUCGUGUAGCGUGAAGGUUCGCUGGAGCGUGAAGCGGCGGCGGUGUGGUUGCUUCCGAGGAUGCACUUCUUAGAGGGACUUUCAGCUCUGAAGCUGAAGGAAGUUUGAGGCAAUAACAGGUCUGUGAUGCCCUUAGAUGUUCUGGGCCGCACGCGCGCUACAAUGAUUAGUUCAACAAGUAUAACACCUUGCCCGGAAGGGUUGGGUAACCUUGCGAAAACUAAUCGUGCUGAGGUUAGAUCAUUGUAAUUAUUGAUCUCUAAUCAGGAAUUCCUAGUAAGCGCGAGUUAUCAGCUCGCGUUGAUUACGUCCCCGCCCUUUGUACACACCGCCCGUCGCUACUACUGAUUGGAUGAUCCGGCCAGUUGUUCGGAGCUGGGGCAACGCUAUGGGGGCAACUCUGUAGUAAGUUCCGGCAAAGUUCCACCAGCCUUACCAUCUAGAAGAAGUAAAAGUCGUAACAAGGUAUCCGUAGGUGAACCUGCGGAUG